RNAcentral lists this long non-coding RNA (247 nucleotides) under Mytilus galloprovincialis (Mediterranean mussel). The record is from RNAcentral. Lineage: Eukaryota; Metazoa; Mollusca; Bivalvia; Mytilida; Mytilidae.
CAAGAACACGACAACAUUCACAUAUUUACUCUUUCAGACCCAUACAAACCACUAAAGACUCAUACAAGUACUCAUUCUACCCUAGAACAAUCUUGCAAUGGAACCUUCUCCCAGUAGCUGCAGUUCAAUGUACUACUCUUGAAAGCUUCCGAGAACAGAUUCCAAUAUCUGUUCUCAAUAAACAUCUAAACAUUUAAAUAAAUUCCACAAUGUAUAUAGUUUUAACCAAAAUGUAUAGUACAAAAAC